UACAGCACAGCAGCAAAGCAGUGGGGAACAGGUGAUGAUUGCCAUGGUGAUGACACCACAGAUGACUCCAGCCAUGCGGGGACCAGUGUGAGACUGCUGGAGAUGAGAGCCAGCAAGCUGGAGGAGCAGGUCAGGGAGCUCACGGUAAGAGCCUCAAUGGUGAGAGGCCCUUUCUCACAAAGUCCGUUCUUUUUGUCCGAACAAUUAGUCUGUAAAAAUAUUUAUAUGAGCACGUCUUGUUUAUGGUGUCGUUCACACCAAUUGCAAAAUAUCGUCCUGCCUCAAUCUGUCAAUUAUUUAUACAGGUUGAAUUUUUGCGUCUUUUCGCAUGCGAAAAUAAGCUGUUGACCAAAAGAACGCGCACUGACACUGACAGGUCUGUGGAUUAUUUGUGUGAAUAAAAUAAUAAAUUUCUCUCUGCCAGUUUUUUACAUUUGCAAUGUAUCAAAGUUUAGCCAAUGGGAUCACGGCGUUCUCGCCAUUCAAACUUCCCCGCCAGUUCAUUGCCAACGCUAGCAAGUCAGAGGAUCGAUCUAUGCUUCUAUGCCUGGUAGGCUAUAUAUAGUUUUUAAAAAUGGCUUGAAAUAAGUUUCAAACUACAGUUGAAGUCGGAAGUUUACAUGCACAUAGAUUGGAGUCAUUAAAACUCGUUUUUCAACCACUCCACAAAUUUCUUGUGAUCAAACUAUAGUUUUGGCAAGUCGGUUAGGACAUCUACUUUGUGCAUGACACAAGUCAUUUUCCAGCAAUUGUUUACAGACAGAUUAUUUCAGGUAAAAUUCACUAUCACAAUUCCAGUGGGGCAGAAGUUUACAUGCGCUUAGUUGAUUGUGCCUUUAAACAGCUUGGAAAAUUUCUAAAAAUUAUGUCAUGGCUUUAGAAGAUUCUGAUAGGCUUAUUGACAUCAUUUGAGUCAGUUGGAGGUGUACCUGUGGAUGUAUUUCAAGGCCAACCUUCAAACUCAGUGCCUAUUUGCUUGACAUCAUGGGAAAAUUAAAAUAAAUCAGCCAAAACCUCAGAAAACCAAUUGUAGACCUCCACAAGUCUCCACAAGUCUGGUUUAUACUUGGGAGCAAUUUCCAAAUGUCUGAAGUUACCACAUUCAUCUGUACAAACAAUAGUACGCAAGUAUAAACACCAUGGGACCACGCAGCCUUCAUACCGCUCAGGAAGGAGACACGUUCUGUCUCCUAGAGAUGAAUGUACUGUGGUGCAAAAAGUCCAAAUCAAUCCCAGAACAACAGCAAAGGACCUUGUGAAGAUGCUGGAGGAAACAGGUACAGAAGUAUCUAUAUCCACAGUAAAACGAGUCCUAUAUCGACAUAACCUGAAUGGCCGCUCAGCAAGGAACAAGCUACUGCUCCAAAACCGCCAUUAAAAAGCCAGACUACAGUUUGCAACUGCACAUUGGGACAAAGAUUGUACUUUUUGGAGAAAUGUCCUCUGGUCUGAUGAAACGAAAAUAGAACUGUUUGGCCAUAAUGACCAUCGUUAUGUUUGGAGGAAAAAGGGGGAGGCUUGCAAGCAGAAGAACACCAUCCCAAUUUUGAAGGACGGAGGUGGCAGCAUCAUGUUGUGGGGCUGCUUUGCUGCAGGAGGGACUGGUGCACUUCACAAAAUAGAUGGCAUCAUGAGGCAGGAAAAUUAUGUGGAUGUAUUGAAGCAACAUCUCAAGACAUCAGUCAGGAAGUUAAAGCUUGGUUGCAAAUAGGUCUUCCAAAUGGACAAUGACCCCAAGCAUACUUUCAAAGUUGUGUCAAAAUGGCUUGAGGACAACAAAGUCAAGGUAUUGGAGUGGCCAUCACAAAGCCCUGACCUCAAUCCUAUAGAAAAUGUGUGGACUGAACUGAAAAAGCGUGUGCGAGCAAGGAGGCCUACCAACCUGACACCGUUACACCAGCUCUGUCAGGGGGAAUGGGCCAAAAUUCACCCAACUUAUUGUGGAAAGCUUGUGGAAGGCUACCUGAAAUGUUUGACCUUAGUUAAACAAUUUAAAGGCAAUGCUACCAAAUACUAAUUGAGUGUAUGUACACUUCUGACCCACUGGGAAUGUGAUGAAAUAAAUAAAAGCUGAAAUAAAUCAUUCUCUCUGCUAUAAUUCUGACAUUUUACGUUCUUAAAAUAAAGUGGUGAUCCUAAAUGACCUAAGACGGAAUUUUUACUUGAAUUAAAUGUCAGGAAUUGUGAAAAACUGAGUUUAAAUGUAUUUGGCUAAGGUGUGUGUAAACUUCCGACUUCUUCAACUGUGUAUAUAUAUGUAUUAUAUAGUCUGCUAAAGUGAAUCUGUGCUAUAGGCCGAGUAAAUACAGUGCAAGUUCUCCCACUUAAAAAAAGAUGAGAGGCCUGUAAUUUUCAUCAUGGUGUCCUUUGACAGCUCUUUGGUCUUGGCCAUAGUGGAGUUUGGAGUGUGACUGUUUGAGGUUGUGGACAGGUGUCUUUUAUACUGUCUUUUAUACUGAUAACAAGUUCAAAUAGGUGCCAUUAAUACAGGUAACGAGUGGAGGACAGAGGAGCCUCUUAAAGAAGAAGUUACAUGUUUGUGAGAGCCAGAAAUCUUGCUUGUUUGUAGGUGACCAAAUACUUAUUUUCCACCAUAAUUUGCAAAUAAAUUCAUAAAAAAUCCUACAAAGUGAUUUUCUGGAUUUUUUUUCUUCUCAUUUCGUCUGUCAUAGUUGAAGUGUACCUAUGAUGAAAAUUACAGGCCUCUCUCAUCUUUUUAAGUGGGAGAACUUGCACAAUUGGUGGCUGACUAAAUACUUUUUUGCCCCACUGUAUCUGCCAGAUUUGACCCUUAUCAAUAAGUGGUAGCACAGAUUAAGAUAAAGCACUCUACUCUAAUUAAAAAUGUAGUGUCAACAUAACCACCCAUUGCUUCACAAACAUGGAUCAACGGCUGAUCGUUGGGCUGUGGAUCAACGGCUGAUCGUUGGGCUGUGGAUCAACGGCUGACCGUUGGGCUGUGGAUCAACGGCUGGUCGUUGGGCUGUGGAUCAACGGCUGAUCGUUGGGCUGUGGAUCAACGGCUGAUCGUUGGGCUGUGGAUCAACGGCUGAUCGUUGGGCUGUGGAUCAACGGCUGAUCGUUGGGCUGUGGAUCAACGGCUGAUCGUUGGGCUAUGGACAGAAAGUUUCCUAUAACAAGGCCUAGUCUGUCUGGACUGCAUCUCUUUAAUCAGAUGGAAAGAGAACCUUAAGCAGCAAGCGUCAUGAUGGUCAGCAUUUUUUGCGUGGAGUGACGACAGGUGCCGGGUUUUUGCAUUUUCUCACGUAGUAAAUGGGGUGGACUGAAUGAAACGUGGCCAAGCACCUUUCAUGAUUCAUCCUAUAAGAUGAAAAGCUUAACCUAAUGUUUUGCCUUUAUCAUAUUGUUUCUCCAAUGGUGUAUGAUUUUUCUCUCAUUACUGCGUCCUCUCCAGCCACGUUGAACAACAUAUUGCCUCAGAGAAUGACCGCAGCAGUGUUGGUGACGUUAAUGCGAAUUUAGGAGGAAAGUGGAGGGGAAAACGCACCAUAGUUGGUGUGAAUGGUUCAGUGCAGGGGUGUCCAUCUCAUUCCAUGGAGGGCCUAGUGCAGGCUUCCCCCAACUGGUGUCCCUCGGCUGAAUCUAGUUGAAGAUCCCUGGCUUAGUGUCUGCAGGUUUGGGGGUUUUCCUUUCAAUGAAGACCUAGACAACCAGGUGAAGAGUUACUUAUUAAUUAGUGACUUUAUUUCAUCAAUCAAGCACAAGGGAAGAGCAAAGAUUCGCAGACACUCAGCCCUCUGUGGAAUGAGUUUGAGAUGUUGUUUAGUGCGUCCAACAUCUGAAUCUGUGUAUAUAUAAAUAUUUAUAUUUAAUUUUUUUCACGGAAGCUGUAUUGUAUUCUAGGAAAGAUACAAAAGAGUCCUGGCUGAUUCUGACAACGUUCGAAGAAGAACUCAGAAGUUUGUUCAAGACGCCAAGCUGUU
Molecule: RNA transcript, 3944 nt
Organism: Oncorhynchus keta (chum salmon)
Lineage: Eukaryota; Metazoa; Chordata; Actinopteri; Salmoniformes; Salmonidae
Gene: grpel2
Gene name: GrpE-like 2, mitochondrial
Exons: 2
Source: RefSeq, a predicted model, not a curated record